CCAUGAAUUUUUUAAAUAAAUAACUCCUAUUAAUUUAUAUAUAUGGUGGCACAAAAUCGGAAGCCCCGACUGUUUACUAAAAACACAACUAUCUGCAAUUAUGAAAAUAAUAGUAUAGGUAGUGAGAUUUGCCCAAUGCCAUAUUAAUAAGUAAUAAUAAUGGGUGACUGUUUCUUUACAAAAAAUUGGUUAAUAGCGGUCUUAACUAUGAGGAUCCUAAGGUAGCAAAAUAAAUUGGCCAUUAAAUGUGGUCCAGUAUCAAUAAUUUAACGAUGGCUUCACUGUCUCUACAACUUGCUCAGUGAAAUUGAAUUACCCGUGCAGAUGCGGGUUACCUCAAAGAGGACGGGAAGACCCUAUGCAGCUUCUA
Molecule: ribosomal RNA, 370 nt
Filed under: Aureoboletus betula
Lineage: Eukaryota; Fungi; Basidiomycota; Agaricomycetes; Boletales; Boletaceae
Description: partial large subunit ribosomal RNA
Rfam family: Bacterial large subunit ribosomal RNA
Source: RNAcentral